UGCUACUUUGGCUGUUUGGGGCGAACAAACAAACGACCCCGCGGUCACAUUCACCGGAAUGACGCUAGGAGAAAACUACGCAUCGCUGUGAGAAGGAAUAUGGCGUUUGAUAUCGGUUUUAUUAGUGUUUCUGCAAAUAGACGGUUGCAGGUGGACUGGUGUUUACAUGGUCCGUGGGAGCUGGAAGUCCGCAGUCAGCUGUGUGGCGGCUGCAGAUCUGCAGCCUCAAUGGAUGUCAUCUGGGAAGAAGAGGAGGAGGAGGAGCCUUGUAGAGACCAGCUGAAGGAACAUCUUCUCUGAGCUGAAGCUCUGAGAUGAGUGCAGAGUUUCCGGACCACAACGGAGAAGUUCCUUCACUCCAUUCAUGCCGCCUUCUCUCCGUACUCACUGUAUACUCAUAGUAUUGUAUGUCAUGAAAUAAUUUAAUAAAAAAAGUAAGUAAUAGUAUGUAUUAUGUCAGAAAAAGCUCAGAAAAGUCAUACAUAAUGUCAAAAAGUGUUAUUACAUUGUUAUUACAUUGUUAUAACUAUGUAAUAACUAUGUAAUAACAUGUAUUAUGACAAAUCUGUUAAAAAGUGCUAUUACACAGUUGUACACAGUACAUGCCAUAAAAGUGGACGUAAAUAAUUUUUUGUCCAUAAAAAAAAAAAAUUGGAUUUUUUUUUCUUAAAUUAGAAUCUUCUCUUCCUUUCUCCUACUCGCUCCCUUUCUCUGACAUGUCCUACUCGGGUCUCUUCCUUUCUCUGAGUUGUCCGGCUCUGGUCUCUUCCUUUCUCUGACUUGUCCUACUCUGGUCUCUUUCUUUCUCUGACUUGUCCUACUCUGGUCUCUUCCUUUCUCUGACUUGUCCUACUCUGGUCUCACUCUUUCUCUGAGGUGUCCUACUCUGGUCUCACUCUUUCUCUGAGUUGUCCUACUCUGGUCUCACUCUUUCUCUGAGGUGUCCUACUCUGGUCUCUUCCUUUUUCUGACUUGUCCUACUCUGGUCUCUUCCUUUUUUUGACUUGUCCUACUCUGGUCACUUCCUUUUUCUGACUUGUCCUACUCUGGUCUCUUCCUUUUUCUGACUUGUCCUACUCUGGUCUCUUCCUUUCUCUGACUUGUCCUACUCUGGUCUCUUCCUUUCUCUGAGUUGACCUACUCUGGUCUCUGCCUUACUCUGAUCCCUGCCUGUCCUUGUCUUAAUACUCUCCUACUCUCUUCUUGCCUGCACUUCCUUUCCUAGCCUCUCUUUCCUAUCUGGGGGGCCUAUCUAAGUGCACACACGCUGAUACCGAGCUGUCUUGAACCCGCCACCGGCGCCUUUAGUGGCGAAGACAAACCAACUGCGCCACCAACGCAUGUACGCAUGCGACAGUUCUCCGGGUGUAUUUGUCUUUGUCAUUCUGGGUGUAAAGCUCAAAAUAAAUUGACUUUUCUUGUGUUGGAACCCAUAACCUUUAUGUCUCCCAACCAGCGUUCCAUCACACUGAGCUAUCAGAUCUGAUGGACAAUCUCAUGGUUAGUUGUGUAUUUGUCUUUGUCAUUCUGGGUGUAAAGCUCAAAAUAAAUUGUCCUUUCCUGUGUUGGAA
Molecule: long non-coding RNA, 1571 nt
Organism: Perca flavescens (yellow perch)
Lineage: Eukaryota; Metazoa; Chordata; Actinopteri; Perciformes; Percidae
Exons: 3
Source: RefSeq, a predicted model, not a curated record